Molecule: ribosomal RNA, 165 nt
Filed under: uncultured bacterium
Lineage: Bacteria
Description: partial 16S rRNA
Rfam family: Bacterial small subunit ribosomal RNA
Source: RNAcentral
UAGGGAAUCUUCGGCAAUGGACGAAAGUCUGACCGAGCAACGCCGCGUGAGUGAAGAAGGUUUUCGGAUCGUAAGACUCUGUUGGUAGAGAAGAACGUUGGUGAGAGUGGAAAGCUCAUCAAGUGACGGUAACUACCCAGAAAGGGACGGCUAACUACGUGCCAC